GACAGAGGGUGCAAACGUUGUUCGGAAUUACUGGGCGUAAAGCGCGUGUAGGCGGCUCGGAAAGUCGGAUGUGAAAGCCCAGGGCUCAACCCUGGAAGUGCACUCGAAACUCCCGAGCUGGAGUCCCGGAGAGGAAGGCGGAAUUCUCGGUGUAGAGGUGAAAUUCGUAGAUAUCGGGAGGAAUACCGGUGGCGAAGGCGGGUCUCUGGGCCGUAACUGACGCUGAGGAGCGAAAGCAUGGGGAGCGAACAGG
Molecule: ribosomal RNA, 253 nt
Filed under: uncultured bacterium
Lineage: Bacteria
Description: partial 16S ribosomal RNA
Rfam family: Bacterial small subunit ribosomal RNA
Source: RNAcentral